CCGGCACGGGUGAGUAACACGUAUCCAACCUGCCGUCUACUCUUGGACAGCCUUCUGAAAGGAAGAUUAAUACAAGAUGGCAUCAUGAGUCCGCAUGUUCACAUGAUUAAAGGUAUUCCGGUAGACGAUGGGGAUGCGUCCAUUAGAUAGUAGGCGGGGUAACGGCCCACCUAGUCUUCGAUGGAUAGGGGUUCUGAGAGGAAGGUCCCCCACAUUGGAACUGAGACACGGUCCAA
Molecule: ribosomal RNA, 236 nt
Filed under: uncultured bacterium
Lineage: Bacteria
Description: partial 16S ribosomal RNA
Rfam family: Bacterial small subunit ribosomal RNA
Source: RNAcentral